GGUCCAGUAGCUCAGUUGGAUUAGAGCAACAGCCUUCUAAGCUGUGGGUCCCAGGUUCGAAUCCUGGCUGGAUCACGA
This 78-nucleotide transfer RNA is filed under the name Marinifilum breve. RNAcentral's name for it is "tRNA-Arg". It matches the Rfam family "tRNA". Rfam says of the family: Transfer RNA (tRNA) molecules are approximately 80 nucleotides in length. Their secondary structure includes four short double-helical elements and three loops (D, anti-codon, and T loops). Further hydrogen bonds mediate the characteristic L-shaped molecular structure. tRNAs have two regions of fundamental functional importance: the anti-codon, which is responsible for specific mRNA codon recognition, and the 3' end, to which the tRNAs corresponding amino acid is attached (by aminoacyl-tRNA synthetases). tRNAs cope with the degeneracy of the genetic code in two manners: having more than one tRNA (with a specific anti-codon) for a particular amino acid; and 'wobble' base-pairing, i.e. permitting non-standard base-pairing at the 3rd anti-codon position. The record is from RNAcentral. RNAcentral also lists the same sequence under 1 other name. Lineage: Bacteria; Pseudomonadati; Bacteroidota; Bacteroidia; Marinilabiliales; Marinifilaceae.